GUGCUUGCUUCAGCAGCACAUAUACUAAAAUUGGAACAAUGCAGAGAUUAGCAUGGACCCUGCACAAGGAUGACAUGAAAAUUCACAAUGUUCCGUUUUUUA
RNAcentral lists this small nuclear RNA (102 nucleotides) under Nannospalax galili (Upper Galilee mountains blind mole rat). The record is from RNAcentral. Lineage: Eukaryota; Metazoa; Chordata; Mammalia; Rodentia; Spalacidae.